AUUGAACGCUGGCGGCAGGCCUAACACAUGCAAGUCGAGCGAGAAAGGUCUUCGGACUGAGUACAGCGGCGGACGGGUGAGUAAAGCGUAGGGAUCUACCUGGUAGUGGGGGAUAACUUGGGGAAACUCAAACUAAUACCGCAUACGCCCUACGGGGAAAGCGGGGACCUUCGGGCCUCGCGCUAUCAGAUGAGCCUGCGUAGGAGUUAGCUAGUUGGUGAGGUAAAGGCUCACCAAGGCGACGAUCCUUAGCUGGUCUGAGAGGAUGAUCAGCCACACUGGGACUGAGACACGGCCCAGACUCCUACGGAGGCAGCAGUGGGGAAUAUUGCGCAAUGGGCGAAAGCCUGACGCAGCCAUGCCGCGUGUGUGAAGAAGGCCUUAGGGUUGUAAAGCACUUUCAAUUGGGAAGAAAAGUUGGUCGUUAAUAGCGGCCAGCCCUGACAUUACCUUUAGAAGAAGGACCGGCUAACUCCGUGCCAGCAGCCGCGGUUAAAGUCGUACGAU
RNAcentral lists this ribosomal RNA (507 nucleotides) under uncultured bacterium. RNAcentral describes it as "bacterial SSU rRNA". It matches the Rfam family "Bacterial small subunit ribosomal RNA", at positions 30 to 533 of the family's 1533-position model. The record is from RNAcentral.